This 429-nucleotide ribosomal RNA is filed under the name Bacteroidota bacterium. RNAcentral describes it as "Bacteroidetes bacterium partial 16S ribosomal RNA". It matches the Rfam family "Bacterial small subunit ribosomal RNA", at positions 355 to 776 of the family's 1533-position model. Lineage: Bacteria; Pseudomonadati; Bacteroidota. The record is from RNAcentral.
UAGGGAAUCUUCGGCAAUGGGGGGAACCCUGACCGAGCAACGCCGCGUGAGUGAAGAAGGUUUUCGGAUCGUAAAGCUCUGUUGUUAAGGAAGAACUAGUGUGAGAAUGGAAAGUUCAUGCUGUGACGGUACUUAACCAGAAAGGGACGGCUAACUACGUGCCAGCAGCCGCGGUAAUACGUAGGUCCCGAGCGUUGUCCGGAUUUAUUGGGCGUAAAGCGAGCGCAGGCGGUUAGAAAAGUCUGAAGUGAAAGGCAGUGGCUCAACCAUUGUAGGCUUUGGAAACUGUUUAACUUGAGUGCAGAAGGGGAGAGUGGAAUUCCAUGUGUAGCGGUGAAAUGCGUAGAUAUAUGGAGGAACACCGGUGGCGAAAGCGGCUCUCUGGUCUGUAACUGACGCUGAGGCUCGAAAGCGUGGGGAGCUAACAGG